This 430-nucleotide ribosomal RNA is filed under the name uncultured bacterium. RNAcentral describes it as "bacterial SSU rRNA". It matches the Rfam family "Bacterial small subunit ribosomal RNA", at positions 354 to 776 of the family's 1533-position model. The record is from RNAcentral.
GUGGGGAAUAUUGGACAAUGGGGGCAACCCUGAUCCAGCCAUGCCGCGUGUGUGAAGAAGGCCUUUUGGUUGUAAAGCACUUUAAGCAGUGAAGAAGACUCCAUGGUUAAUACCCAUGGACGAUGACAUUAGCUGCAGAAUAAGCACCGGCUAACUCUGUGCCAGCAGCCGCGGUAAUACAGAGGGUGCAAGCGUUAAUCGGAAUUACUGGGCGUAAAGCGAGCGUAGGUGGCUUGAUAAGUCAGAUGUGAAAGCCCCGGGCUUAACCUGGGAACGGCAUCUGAUACUGUUAGGCUAGAGUAGGUGAGAGGAAGGUAGAAUUCCAGGUGUAGCGGUGAAAUGCGUAGAGAUCUGGAGGAAUACCGAUGGCGAAGGCAGCUUCCUGGCAUCAUACUGACACUGAGGCUCGAAAGCGUGGGUAGCAAACAGG